AGCAGCCGCGGUAAUUCCAGCUCCAAUAGCGUAUAUUAAAGUUGUUGCAGUUAAAAAGCUCGUAGUUGAAUUUCGGGGUCAGCAGGUCGGUCGUGCCUACGGUAUGCACUGGCCUUGCUGAUUCCUCCCUCUUGAUGAGCCGUAAUGCCAUUAAUUUGGUGUUGCGGGGAAUCAGGACUGUUACUUUGAAAAAAUUAGAGUGUUUAAAGCAGGCUAACGCUUGAAUACAUUAGCAUGGAAUAACGGAAUAGGACGUUCGAUCUUAUUUUGUUGGUUUCUAAGAUUGACGUAAUGAUUAAUAGGGAUAGUUGGGGGCAUUAGUAUUCAAUUGUCAGAGGUGAAAUUCUUGGAUUUAUUGAAGACUAACUACUGCGAAAGCAUUUGCCAAGGAUGUUUUCAUUAAUCAAGAACGAAAGUUAGGGGAUCGAAGACGAUCAGAUACCGUCGCAGUCUUAACCAUAAACUAUGCCGACUAGGGAUCGGGUGAUGUAAUUUUUAAUGACUCAUUCGGCGCCUUACG
This 520-nucleotide ribosomal RNA is filed under the name uncultured Glomus. RNAcentral describes it as "SSU rRNA". It matches the Rfam family "Eukaryotic small subunit ribosomal RNA", at positions 569 to 1092 of the family's 1831-position model. Lineage: Eukaryota; Fungi; Glomeromycota; Glomeromycetes; Glomerales; Glomeraceae. The record is from RNAcentral.